RNAcentral lists this ribosomal RNA (426 nucleotides) under uncultured Pseudomonadota bacterium. RNAcentral's name for it is "bacterial SSU rRNA". It matches the Rfam family "Bacterial small subunit ribosomal RNA", at positions 356 to 774 of the family's 1533-position model. Lineage: Bacteria; Pseudomonadati; Pseudomonadota. The record is from RNAcentral.
GGGGAAUAUUGGACAAUGGGCGCAAGCCUGAUCCAGCCAUACCGCGUGGGUGAAGAAGGCCUUCGGGUUGUAAAGCCCUUUUGUUGGGAAAGAAAUCCAGCUGGCUAAUACCCGGUUGGGAUGACGGUACACAAAGCAUAAGCACCGGCUAACUUCGUGCCAGCAGCCGCGGUAAUACGAAGGGUGCAAGCGUUACUCGGAAUUACUGGGCGUAAAAGCGGCGUAGGUGGUCGUUUAAGUCCGUUGUGAAAGCCCUGGGCUCAACCUGGGAACUGCAUUUGAAACUGAAAGACUUGAGUAUUGGAGAGGCAAGUGGAAUUCCUAGUGUAGCGCUGAAAUGCGUAGAUAUUAGGAGGAACACCGGUGGCGAAGGCGGCUUGCUGGACAAAUACUGACGCUGAGGUUCGAAAGCGUGGGGAGCAAACA